Long non-coding RNA from Prionailurus viverrinus (fishing cat), 458 nucleotides. RefSeq lists it as uncharacterized. NCBI's taxonomy places the organism in Eukaryota, Metazoa, Chordata, Mammalia, Carnivora, Felidae. The record is from RefSeq and is a predicted model, not a curated record. The transcript has 2 exons.
CCAUGGGUGUUGCUGCCAGCAGCUCACAAUUGGACGCCUCUUCAGAGAAUUGUCCUUGGGCCGUUGGAGCUGCCUAGCCUGGCGGGGUCUGGGACUUAUGCCCUGACUCCCUCUGUCAUCACUCAGGGCACACCGGAGCCAAUGACUGGCCAGUGCAGGACUCAAAAGACUCACUCUCUCAUCUCAAGAAUCACCGUGUGAGAUAGACACCUUCAGUGUCCCCAUUUGACAGAUGAGGAAAUUGAGCCUGGAGAGAUUCAGAACUUACUGAGAUCACACAGCCGAUCAGGGGCCGAGCUGGGCUUUAAACCCAGGCAGAACUACUCAAUAUACUGGACUCUUUAUUCUACAAGUGCAGCCUCUCAGAUGGUGUCCUUAUUGUUUGGGAUGUCUGUCCUCACUCCCCACUGCUGUUCUGCUUCCUUUGCCCUUCUUAAAUAAACUCAUUGUUGAAAAUA